AUGAGAAGCUGCCACAGAGUCUUGAGGGACAUGUAUGGGGAGUUUUCUCCUCCAGAGUAUCACAGUGAUUCCCCAUUCAACCUAUGGUGUAACUGGACAAUCUGGGCAGGCUCCAGAAAGCAUAUCAUAGUCUAUAUUCAAGGUUUUAUCACAGAGGAGGAUUGCAACAGAAACAAAGACAAAAUACUCUUUGAAGGAGUUUCUUCACUGGUGGAAAAUGAUGUAAUUUAUGCUUGCUGGAAGAAGGAGAUGCAUGUUUUUGCCACCUUUGCUCAGGCUGUGCACGUUGUAUUGCUGAAGAGGUACUUGCCAAAUUGCAGAGACACACGGUUUAAAGGCAAGUAUUAUAUCUUCCAGCACCACGAAGGCGAAUCUCCCUCCAGAGGUGCUUUGAUUCCUGAAACUCUUGCUACAAAGCCAUCUAAGCAAGAGAGCGUUUUCCAGCCUGGAUGGACAGACCACCUUGGAGGCUCUGCAACCUUGAUGCCGAUGGGAAAUCCAGUUGAGCUCGUCCCAUACCAAGGUGCAACGACACAGUUCCUGGGUAUGCCAGCUACCUGUGUGCAGGGCUCUGAGCCGCAGACAGGGCCAAGGCUCUGCCAGGAAGAGGAAGGCACAGCUGGGGAUGCCCAGUGGCUGAGCCACACCACCAGUGGAGAUAUUACUCCAGGUUUGGGUAAUACACAUGGAUUUUCAAGCAUGCUUUUGGAAACACCUUUGUUCGGAGCCUUGCAGGUAAUGGAGCAUUCAUUGCAGCCCACAGGCAUGAGCUGGGAGAGCAGACAGUCUGUACUACACCCCACCCUGAGGCUGGAAGAUCUGGGAGACCUCCAGUUUACCAUUAAACCAACACGCAUGAGUCACAUGGACUCGGCUGCUGAUUCACAGACUUCCUCUCCUGGCAGAAGAGGAAGCCAAGAGAGCAUCAGUACCACCAAGUCCCAGGGGCUGGAUGCAAGGAAGGACAGAAGCCAUGCACAGCUGAGCGUCCCAGCUGAUGGAGCAGCAAGCAGUGAUGCUGUUGGCCUUGCAAGGGGCCUGAUGCCCAGCCUGAGCAGCCCAUAUGAUGUGGUGAAUGGGGACCGCUCACAGCUGCUGCCAGAGAGAGAUCAAAGCAGUUUUGGGGCUUUGCCUGUGACUCAACCCAGCCUGGGAACAACCAACCUCCAGCAUAUGGAGCUCAUGGGUAUUUUCCCCCUGGAAAGUUCCAGGGGUGUUGUUGAGGAGAAAGCAGUGCCACGUCCCACACCACCAUGGGACAUCCUCCAGGAGCAUCCUCACUCAUAUGACCAGAGCCAUCCUGUCCUGCAGGCAGUCCCUGUGCACCCUGGGAGCCUCCCCACAAGCACCCAAGCAUGCAGCUGUCCAGUUGCUGAGAAAACUUCCGCAUUCUCAUGGGACAUAAAAAGCUGCUGCCACCAGGGUUACACCGCCACACAGACGUGGCUGGUAGUGUCCCCUGGGCGAACAGGUCUAGAGCUUUCUUCCAUGAGCAGGAUGGAAACAACCCCUGCACCAGUGCUCUCUCACUCUGACCUCAUUCCUGUGGGCUCUGCCAACACUUCCUCUGAAGAACUUCUUCCCUCAGGAGAACAGUCCACAUCCAGGGCAGUCCCCUCCUCACUGGCAGCUUUGGGUUUGGAUCCUGUCAGCCUCAGGAGAUGGGCAGGCAUCUCAUCAGGAGGACAUGAGGUGGCCUCAUCAUUGCCUCCUCUCUAUCUAUCAGCAGCCCCUGAACUGGGUGCAGCUGUGUCCCCUGGCCACCUUGGCCACUGGAUGAGGGAGAAAGUGCUGGAAGAGGAUGGCCACCAACAAGAAACCCCAGCUCCUGUGCAUGUGCUGGCUGCAGGUCCCUCUCCAGCCUCCAUCCCGAGGCCCUUUGUGGGACCUCCUCGGGCCAAGGACCCCCUGAGUCAUGGCUCUAGGGUGACACCAGCUCUGCUGCAACCAGGCAUGGCCACUAGUGGCAAAGCAGCUUCUGCCUUGCACCUUGGGGGACUUAAAAUGCAGAAGACCAUGGAAAGUCUCCAGGUGGGUGUUGGAGAGCAGAGAAAUUCCUCCUCGCAUGUUGCCCGCUCCGAUCCUCCAGCAGUGCAGUGGGGGCAAACAGUGCUGAGAGGCCAAGAACUCCGGGAGCCCACGAGUGGUCCAGUAUCCAGGCACACGGGGAUGCCGGGAGGACAGCCACAGAAGCACUCUGAGCUGGGACUGCCCUGGGUGAUGGAGUACUUCCCUGUCAGGAGCUGCCAUGUCACCUUUCAGAAUGAGUUUGGGGUGUUCUACCUCCCACUGCAUGGUGACAUCCAAGCCAACAUCUGGUGCAACUGGACCAUCUGGGCAGGCCCCCAGAAACACAUUGUCAUCUACAUUCAGGGGUUCCAGGACAGUGAAGGCUGCGGUAAGAACCACGACAAGAUCAUUUUCCAAGGGGUCCUCUCACGUGUGGAAACAAAGGUCAUGUAUGCCUGUCACAGCCAAGGUACUCUGAUCUUUGCUGCACAAGCCACAGCAGUCCAUGUGUUAUUGUUGUCAAGAAGUGGCCCCCUAAGCAGCAAAUACAAACAUUUUGAAGGACAGUAUUAUGUAUUUGGAGACUAUGAAGCUGUGGGUUCUUCAGAUGGUGCUGGAGCUCCCCGAGAGCCCAUCCGGGAAACCCCUAAAGGAGAGAGCUGGAGGAUAGGGACAACACAAGGUUUGCUGCCCAUGCUGAGAGCCUCUCCAAGUCCAUCCACUCCACCUACUGCAGGCAAGAUCCAGGCCGAGAUGGCAAGCACAGAGGACAAGGGCCAACACCUCCCUGAUCUUGUGGAAGAUACUUGGCUUGGUGCUGACCUGAGCGAGCAUAGUGAGGUGCAAGAUGAAACAGAGAUGGAAAGAAGCCUUACAUAUGGUGGCACAGAGGGGAGGGAACCCAAUGAGGAUGUGUUGGAGUACCCAUCAGUAGGAGGUGCUGGGCCUGAAGCUGAGCUGCCUGCCUUGGAGGUUGCAAAGGGGGAUGUAGAGCUGGUGCCUGUUCUGGUCACCACAGCCUCACACUACUCAGCUGAUGUCCCUGCCUCAGAGGCAAUGCCCCAGGGUGACAAAGGCGUGCCUGCUGGAGAUGUGCAGUCACCGGGAGAAGGGCAUGAAGAUCCCUUUGAUCUGGCUUCUGUUCUGGCAUCUCUGGAGAAUGGUACGGCACUGCAAUCCCUGCACCACCCUGGAGGUAAGUGA
Molecule: long non-coding RNA, 3213 nt
Filed under: Numida meleagris (helmeted guineafowl)
Lineage: Eukaryota; Metazoa; Chordata; Aves; Galliformes; Numididae
Description: lncRNA (ENSNMEG00000003150.1)
Source: RNAcentral